This 253-nucleotide ribosomal RNA is filed under the name uncultured bacterium. RNAcentral's name for it is "partial 16S ribosomal RNA". It matches the Rfam family "Bacterial small subunit ribosomal RNA", at positions 524 to 776 of the family's 1533-position model. The record is from RNAcentral.
UACGAAGGGUGCAACCGUUGCUCGGAAUUAUUGGGCGUAAGGCGCACGUAGGCGGCUCCAAAAGUCGGAUGUGAAAUCCCUCGGCUCAACCAAGGAAGUGCACCCGAAACUGCGGAGCUUGAGUAUGGAAGAGGGUCGCGGAAUUCCCGGUGUAGAGGUGAAAUUCGUAGAUAUCGGGAGGAACACCAGUGGCGAAGGCGGCGACCUGGGCCAAUACUGACGCUGAGGUGCGAAAGCGUGGGGAGCAAACAGG